Molecule: ribosomal RNA, 475 nt
Filed under: uncultured bacterium
Lineage: Bacteria
Description: bacterial SSU rRNA
Rfam family: Bacterial small subunit ribosomal RNA
Source: RNAcentral
ACUCCUACGGGAGGCAGCAGUGGGGAAUAUUGCACAAUGGGCGCAAGCCUGAUGCAGCCAUGCCGCGUGUAUGAAGAAGGCCUUCGGGUUGUAAAGUACUUUCAGCAGUGAGGAAGGUGGUAUGUUAAUAGCAUAUCAUUGAUUCGAUUGAUGCUGCAGAAGAAGCACGGCUAACUCCGUGCCAGCAGCCGCGGUAAUACGGAGGGUGCGAGCGUUAAUCGGAAUUACUGGGCGUAAAGCGCAUGCAGGUGGUUUGUUAAGUCAGAUGUGAAAGCCCGGGGCUCAACCUCGGAAUUGCAUUUGAAACUGGCAAACUAGAGUACUGUAGAGGGGGGUAGAAUUUCAGGUGUAGCGGUGAAAUGCGUAGAGAUCUGAAGGAAUACCGGUGGCGAAGGCGGCCCCCUGGACAGAUACUGACACUCAGAUGCGAAAGCGUGGGGAGCAAACAGGAUUAGAUACCCUGGUAGCUACGAGU